AUUGAACGCUGGCGGCAUGCUUUACACAUGCAAGUCGAACGGCAGCGCGGGCUUCGGCCUGGCGGCGGGUGGCGAACGGGUGAGUAAUGCAUCGGAACGUGCCCAGUAGUGGGGGAUAGCCCGGCGAAAGCCGGAUUAAUACCGCAUACGACCUGAGGGUGAAAGCGGGGGACCGAAAGGCCUCGCGCUAUUGGAGCGGCCGAUGUCGGAUUAGCUAGUUGGUGGGGUAAAGGCUUACCAAGGCGACGAUCCGUAGCUGGUCUGAGAGGACGACCAGCCACACUGGGACUGAGACACGGCCCAGACUCCUACGGGAGGCAGCAGUGGGGAAUUUUGGACAAUGGGGGCAACCCUGACCCAGCCAUGCCGCGUGCGGGAAGAAGGCCUUCGGGUUGUAAACCGCUUUUGUUCGGGAAGAAAUCCUCUGGGCUAAUACCCCGGGGGGAUGACGGUACCGGAAGAAUAAGCACCGGCUAACUACGUG
Molecule: ribosomal RNA, 484 nt
Filed under: uncultured bacterium
Lineage: Bacteria
Description: partial 16S ribosomal RNA
Rfam family: Bacterial small subunit ribosomal RNA
Source: RNAcentral